This 253-nucleotide unclassified non-coding RNA is filed under the name uncultured Chlamydiales bacterium. RNAcentral's name for it is "contains 16S-23S intergenic spacer region". It matches the Rfam family "Bacterial small subunit ribosomal RNA", at positions 524 to 776 of the family's 1533-position model. The record is from RNAcentral. Lineage: Bacteria; Pseudomonadati; Chlamydiota; Chlamydiia; Chlamydiales.
UACGGAGGGUGCUAGCGUUAAUCGGAUUUAUUGGGCGUAAAGGGCGCGUAGGCGGGAUGGUAAGUCAGACGUGAAAGACCGGAACUCAACUCCGGAACCGCGUUUGAAACUACUGUUCUUGAGGGUAGACGGAGAAAACGGAAUUCCGUGUGUAGCGGUGAAAUGCGUGGAUAUACGGAAGAACACCGGUGGCGAAGGCGGUUUUCUAGUUUACACCUGACGCUGAGGCGCGAAAGCUAGGGGAGCAAACAGG